This is a small nucleolar RNA of Ornithorhynchus anatinus (platypus), 138 nucleotides long. The record is from RefSeq and is a predicted model, not a curated record. NCBI's taxonomy places the organism in Eukaryota, Metazoa, Chordata, Mammalia, Monotremata, Ornithorhynchidae.
UGCCCCUCUAGGUCGCACCUGGAGAGUUUCCAGUACUCUACCGGUCUCGGCUACGGGAGGGAGAGUCAAGCAGAGGUCUCUCCGUUCCAUUCCUAGCUUGGCCAGUGGCUAGCGAGCGGAAGGCAGUCUGCUACAAGU